RNAcentral lists this unclassified non-coding RNA (151 nucleotides) under soil metagenome. RNAcentral describes it as "partial internal transcribed spacer 1". The record is from RNAcentral.
UAAUAAGUGUUUUUAUGGCACUUUUUUAAAUCCAUAUCCACCUUGUGUGGCAAUGUCAGUCGAUCUUCUUCAUGGAGAUCGACCAAACAUCAAACCUUUAUCUUUUUAACUCUUUGUCUGAAAAAAUAUUAUGAAUAAACAAUUCAAAAUA